RNAcentral lists this long non-coding RNA (4528 nucleotides) under Cricetulus griseus (Chinese hamster). RNAcentral's name for it is "lncRNA (ENSCGRG00015029140.1)". The record is from RNAcentral. Lineage: Eukaryota; Metazoa; Chordata; Mammalia; Rodentia; Cricetidae.
CAGGAAUUCCACUUAAUCUUAUGCAGUUUCCCCAGUUGUUAGACUAGGUUCAGUGGUCUCUCAGUAGCUCUGGUCAGCUGAUACUAUGGCUUUCACGAUUAUUAUCUGUAAUGUUUCGAUGUUUCGUGCAUAUUAUCUCUAUUCCCUCUGUUUUUGCCAAAGAACUAGAAAAAAAUACAUCCUGUGUGAGGGACUAUAUAUAUAUAUAUAUAUAUAUAUAUAUAUAUAUGUGUGUGUGUGUGUGUGUGUGUGUGUGUGUGUGUGUAAAUUAGACACAUGGAGAGAUAGCAUUAUAAUUCAUGGCAAUAAAUAUUUAUUCAGAAAUUUUGAUUAUGCAAUAAAAGGUAUUGCACAAUUAAUAUUGAUUUAAUAUACAUUAUACAUAUUAUUUAGUACCUAAAAUCAUUUAUAGAAAAUUAGGAAAAUAGAUCACUGUGAAUAUGCAUCCUGAUGCAUCUCAGUGUUACUACAAUUAAAAUCCUGAAAAGACUGGAUAUUGUCUUCUGGAUUGUUACAAUUUUGUCAAAAGGAGCAAAAUAUCUGUUCAGCCACCAUUAGUCAAUGUUGGCUACUGCUAAAUAGAGGCAGAGGCACAGGUAAAUGAUAUUUCAUCCUGUCUUCCUAAUUCUAUUCCACUGUUUCUUUAACACAAACAUGGAGGGGGAGAGAUAGAUAAUUAGCAGCUAAGAUGGAGAUCUUAAAAACUUGUUGCCAUUUGUUUCAAUGUUUGAGUUUGAGAGCUCACUUAUGAUUUUUUCCUAGUGAAUCUCUAAAUGUAUGCCCUCCUCCAAUAAGAGGCAUUCACAUCUAAUAAAAAUGUCAUAACUGGAGGAUAUUCCCAGUCAGACUCCUGGCUAAUGUGCAGCUAAGAGAUGGAUUCUAGCCAAAGCCUGACUGUCAACAAUCUAGAGAAGGGAUACUGUUAUGGAGACUUGACUGAGAUUGUGGAGAUCAAACCCUAGAAUAGGGAAGGUAAACAGUGGGCUUUUCCAAAAUCCUUCUGUGAGUAACUGGUCCUGUUUGCUGUUGCUGCAAGCACAGAUUCAGCCAUAAUAUCUGUGAUUGCUGGCUUAUUUUGGAUCCUGCAGUUUGUGCAAGUAAAUUUACUCUUAAUCAGUACUUGGCAGAAACUGGGCUCAUAUUGAUCCAAUAGGCCCUUGGAGAAUACAGUAUAAAUGUCUAUGAAUGGUAGAAAUCUUAGUUAGCCAUCUGAAACUGUGCAUUUCAAGUACCAGAUUCCACGAAUAAGUGCUUCUGUAAAUCUGACAUUACAUCAAGCACAAUACUAGCAAGAAGCAAUUGGCAGCACAGAAUCAUAAUCAGCCAUCAGAAGGCAGAGAUAAGGAAUUGUUUUUGAGACAGGGUAAAUUGUGUAAUUUUGCCACCUAUUAUUGGACUUGCUGUGGAAACCAGGCUGGCCUCAAACUCACACAGAACCGGCUGUGUCUGCACACAGAGUGCUGAAAUUAAAGUCUUGCAACACCAAAGACCCACAAGAUAAAGAUGUUAUCUCGAUAGCCUGGAUAUCAGCACAAGCAGGUAACUAUAUGAUCAUGCCUACUUACACCAUAUGUUUUUCAUUUUUUGUUUAUGUUAUUUAUGGCCUAAAAUAUUAUUAUAUUUGCAGUCACCUGCUUUCUAUAUUGUGGUGUAUACAGCAGCACACAUUGUGUAGGGAGGGAGAAAUGAGGCAGGAGCUCUGAUCUAGAACUCCAAGCUUUCCUGAGGAUUUGCUUUCCAUUGGUGGGAAUGAGAUCACCCUCCCUAUUGGUGCAGUUCACUAGCAAAAUUUCAAUUCACACAGAACUUCAGAGAGAGGCAAGGAGAGCUAAUAUGUUGUCAGAAUUGUUGGUUAUUAUCAGGUAGUCUCUAGCUAUCUUCCAAAACUCAAUUGCUCCUUGUCAUAACAGAAACCCACUGUCUAUUUUCCCAGACAAAGGCAACUAUCUGUUCCAUGUGCACGCACAAUAGGCAACACAUACAAAUUAGUAAAUUCAAGGAUGAUUAGAUUCCUUAUUCUAUAUCUGUGAUUAACUUGAUCCAGUUACCUCUACAGUAAGGAGAUUCCCCCUUAUUGAACUACUCAAUUUCUUGAAAACUGAGAAAUCUGUUUGUUGCACUUAAAAUUCGGCAGUACCUGCAUUAAAAAAUACUUCACUUGAAGAUUAGGUAUCUGACAUAGACUAGGGAAGUUCUGCUGUUUCCUCUACCCUAGGAGUGCCAAUGUGGGACUGGCUAUUACAUUGUAGUUUUAUUCAUGAAUUCUUUGAGUGACUGAAAUUACAAGCAGUAAUAUCUGCAAAAGUGCAUGUGAAUGAUAUAGAUAGAUCUGAACACUUGCACAAGCAAUGGUUGUGCUGAAUAGAACAGCACACAGGCAGACUCAUCUAGCAGGAAAGGGUACACACAAACCUACACAACACAUUGUCAGUCUCACUGUUCUCUGACAGGCUAUAUAUAGCCUUUGUCAGGUUUCAGAUUAACAGUGUCUGCAAAACUUUGUCAUAAAUCCCUGCUCUCCACUACCACCUGCAAUACAACAGUCUUUGUUAUGGUAGGGUCAAGUCAUUGGAUAUAGUCUGUAUGGUACACUUGUGACCAGGAAUACCCAGACCCGAUUAUUCAGCCCUCAUAUCUAUACUUUUGAAAGGAAACUGAUCAGAAUAGUAGACAUUAGGUGAUUCACAUUUGAAAUUUAUUAUAACUUGUUUCUUCAUGAAAUGAGUAUAGAAGUCAUCAUACAUGUGUUAUUCUAAUUUUCAUAAUGCAUCAUAGUACUUUUUAUUACUAAAUAGAAAUUACCUGUUCCUGAGAUACCUGCAAGCAUACAUGUAGCAAAAUUUGUUCUGUCUUGUUAGUUUCCCAGUUAACUCUUUUAAUUGUUAAUUGAAAGCCAGUUUCAGAAGAGUUGUACAAUUUGGAUGCAUUCAAUUGUAUCUGACUAAAAUUUGUUCAAAUUGUUAAAAAAAUAAUUUGUUAUGAUUCAAGGAAAUAUCCUCACUAAGUCCAAAUAGAAUUACAAUAUACUUAUUGUCCAUUUUGAUUGAGUCUUAAAUUUUGCGGAUUGUUCCAGUUCAGGUACUUAAUUUCACCAGUAAAUCUCUGAUGUUUUGCCUAUGAUUAUAGCUUUCCACACACACAGAGUGACACCCAGACACACACUUCCUUAUAUUACUGUGUCCUUGAGAACAAACAGUUUAUGCAUUUUUGAGAAUAUAUGCUCACAUUAUUAUUACUGGUGUAAUAACAUUUUCUAAGAUUUUUUAGGGUCUAAUAUAACAAAACAAAUUGUAGUAGGCAAAAUAUAUGAGGGUACAUAAUGUUAAUAUAGGAUCAUAUUUUCUCUUUUCAUUGUACAAGAGGCACAUGUAUUUAAAUAGAAUAACCUUUUGUUUUAAAAUAUUGGCAAUAGCAAUAUUAAAUUAUGUUGAUACAAUAAGAGUGUGGUAGCAGUAUAGAUUUUAUAGACAACAAACCCCAAUAAUGAUUUUAAUGAGUUUCAUUUAUUUAUGUAUAUUCAUCUGAAGCAAUUUCUAAUAGAUAAGCAUUUAGAUACAGAAAAUUAAUGAUGACAUAGUAUACAUCAUAAUUUAACCACAAGAACAGUAGCAUUAUUUUAGCACUAAGAGUGGUUACAAAGAAUCUGUUUCCCAUUGUCUGUUGUAGUGGGGAAUGCUUGUCACACCAAUUUGAAGGCUGACACAUGUGAGGCUGUCCAUGCCCACCAACAUCAGGAGGCUUGCACAGGGAGAAGUGCUGAACUAAUGAACCCAUAGAUUGCAGAAGCCUUCAGACUGCCACCAACCUUCAUGUGGUCCACAAGUGACCUAUUCUGCUUUCCCAGUGCACGUUUAGAUGUGAGGGAGAAAUGAAUCAGCAGCUCUGAAGGAGAUCCCCAAGCUUUCCUGAGGAUUUGCUUUCCAUUGGCGGAAAUGAGAACACACUCCUUAUUGGUUCCAGACUCCCAGCAAAAUGUGAAUGCUCACAGACCUUCACUGAGAGGGAAGGAGAAACUAAAUGUCAAAAUUGCAGAUUCUUACCAGUCAGUCUCUGGCUGUGUUCUGAAAUUCAGUUGCUCCUGGGCAUAAAAAAAAAAAAAAAAAAAAAAAAAAAAAAAAACUGUCUUUUUUCUCCCAGACAAUGCCAACUAGCAGUUCCUGAUAUAUGCUAGAGACAAUAACAUACAAAUUAGGACAUUAGGGGAUUGUAGUACAGAUGUGAUUAACCUGAUCUUGUCACCUGUACAACAAGGAGAUUCCUGGUUAUUGACAACAUUAUCUUUAAAACUGUGAAAACUGUUUGAUGGACUUGAAGUGCUGCAGUACCUACAGUAAAAAUAUUUCACAUGUGGAUUUUGUGUCUGACAUAGCCUAGGGGAGUCCUGAUGUUUCCUCUCCCCUGGGACAUCUAUUGUGGGAAUGGUGAUUACAUUGUAGUUUUAUUUAUGAAAUCUUUGAGUUAUUAUAAUUACAAGAAGUAACAUCUCUAUAAGUGCAUGUGAUGGAAAUAAACAAUCUGUAUUCCUUGA